Molecule: ribosomal RNA, 567 nt
Filed under: Suhomyces bribrorum
Lineage: Eukaryota; Fungi; Ascomycota; Pichiomycetes; Serinales; Debaryomycetaceae
Description: eukaryotic LSU rRNA
Rfam family: Eukaryotic large subunit ribosomal RNA
Source: RNAcentral
AUAUCAAUAAGCGGAGGAAAAGAAACCAACCGGGAUUGCCUCAGUAACGGCGAGUGAAGCGGCAAAAGCUCAAAUUUGAAAUCUGGCCUCUGGUCCGAAUUGUAAUUUGAAGAAGCGACUUUGGGCCUGGCUCUUGUCUAUGUUCCUUGGAACAGGACGUCACAGAGGGUGAGAAUCCCGUGCGAUGAGAAGACCAGGUUCGUGUAAAGCGUUUUCGACGAGUCGAGUUGUUUGGGAAUGCAGCUCUAAGUGGGUGGUAAAUUCCAUCUAAAGCUAAAUAUUGGCGAGAGACCGAUAGCGAACAAGUACAGUGAUGGAAAGAUGAAAAGAACUUUGAAAAGAGAGUGAAAAAGUACGUGAAAUUGUUGAAAGGGAAGGGCUUGAGAUCAGACUUUGUUUUUCCAUGGCGCUCUUUCGGGGGUGUCCUCUGGGGCUACAGGGCCAGCAUGGGUUUUGCGGGCGAGACGAGGUUUCCGGGAAUGUGGCUCUGCUUCGGUGGAGUGUUAUAGCCCGGGGGACUGGUCGCCAUGCGGGACCGAGGACUGCGGUACUAGGAUGCUGGCAUAA